GGGGGCGUAGCUCAGCUGGCUAGAGCGCCACGUUGACAUCGUGGAGGUCACAGGUUCAAGUCCUGUCGCUCCCA
Molecule: transfer RNA, 74 nt
Filed under: Gemmatimonadota bacterium
Lineage: Bacteria; Pseudomonadati; Gemmatimonadota
Also listed under: 2 other names
Description: tRNA-Val
Rfam family: tRNA
About the family: Transfer RNA (tRNA) molecules are approximately 80 nucleotides in length.
Source: RNAcentral